This 502-nucleotide ribosomal RNA is filed under the name uncultured bacterium. RNAcentral's name for it is "bacterial SSU rRNA". It matches the Rfam family "Bacterial small subunit ribosomal RNA", at positions 29 to 524 of the family's 1533-position model. The record is from RNAcentral.
AACGAACGCUGGCGGCGCGCCUAAUACAUGCAAGUCGAGCGAGAAGGUGUAGCAAUACACUUGUAAAGCGGCGAACGGGUGAGGAAUGCAUGGGUAACCUACCCUCGAGUGGGGAAUAACUAGCCGAAAGGUUAGCUAAUACCGCAUACGUUUCCGGAACUUCGGUUUCGGAAAGAAAGCAAUACCGUGGGUAUUGCGCUCCUGGAUGGGCUCAUGUCCUAUCAGCUUGUUGGUGAGGUAACGGCUCACCAAGGCUUCGACGGGUAGCUGGUCCGAGAGGACGAUCAGCCACACUGGCACUGCGACACGGGCCAGACUCCUACGGGAGGCAGCAGUAAGGAAUAUUGCGCAAUGGACGAAAGUCUGACGCAGCGACGCCGCGUGGGGGAUGAAGGUCUUCGGAUUGUAAACCCCUUUCGGGAGGGAAGAUGGAGUGGGUAACCACUUGGACGGUACCUCCAGAAGCAGCCACGGCUAACUUCGUGCCAGCAGCCGCGGUAAU